Molecule: ribosomal RNA, 815 nt
Filed under: uncultured bacterium
Lineage: Bacteria
Description: bacterial SSU rRNA
Rfam family: Bacterial small subunit ribosomal RNA
Source: RNAcentral
UAAGUCUGUUGUUUAAAUCGUGGAGCUCAACUCCAUCACGGCAAUGGAAACUGUUCGGCUUGAGUAUGGUAGGGGCAGAGGGAAUUUCCGGUGUAGCGGUGAAAUGCGUAGAUAUCGGGAAGAACACCAGUGGCAAAAGCGCUCUGCUGGGCCAUUACUGACGCUCAUGGACGAAAGCCAGGGGAGCGAAAGGGAUUAGAUACCCCUGUAGUCCUGGCCGUAAACGAUGAACACUAGAUGUUGGGGGAAUCGACCCCUCCGGUGUCGUAGCUAACGCGUUAAGUGUUCCGCCUGGGGAGUACGCACGCAAGUGUGAAACUCAAAGGAAUUGACGGGGGCCCGCACAAGCGGUGGAGUAUGUGGUUUAAUUCGAUGCAACGCGAAGAAUCUUACCAAGGCUUGACAUCCUGCAAAUCUCCAAGAAAUUGGAGAGUGCCUYCGGGAACGCAGUGACAGGUGGUGCAUGGCUGUCGUCAGCUCGUGUCGUGAGAUGUUGGGUUAAGUCCCGCAACGAGCGCAACCCACGUUUUUAGUUGCCAGCAUUCAGUUGGGCACUCUAGAAAGACUGCCGGUGACAAACCGGAGGAAGGUGUGGACGACGUCAAGUCAUCAUGCCCCUUACGCCUUGGGCUACACACGUACUACAAUGCUGCGGACAAAGAGUAGCGAUCUUGCAAAAGUUAGCUAAUCUCGUAAACCGUGGCUCAGUUCAGAUCGUAGGCUGCAACUCGCCUACGUGAAGGAGGAAUCGCUAGUAAUCGCAGGUCAGCAUACUGCGGUGAAUACGUUCCCGGGCCUUGUACACACCGCCCGUA